This is a long non-coding RNA of Magallana angulata, 3044 nucleotides long. RefSeq lists it as uncharacterized. The transcript is spliced from 5 exons. Lineage: Eukaryota; Metazoa; Mollusca; Bivalvia; Ostreida; Ostreidae. The record is from RefSeq and is a predicted model, not a curated record.
UUUGGACCAAACAAGCAUGGUUAACAAACAAACAAACAAACCAUAAGUUUCAUUAUGGGCAUAUCCGGUGAUAGUUUACAUGUUUACUGAGAUCCAUCGAGAAAAAGAUGUUUAUUCGAUGACUCAUUGAGAGAAAUUGCGUAACGCCUAAGAGUCGUCAUAUUGCUAAUUAUAUCUUUGAUACAGUCGAGUAUAUAUAGACAUUUGUACUGGCCUCAGAAUGCGAACGAUUGUCACGACAACCCUCAACUUUUUAAGAACAAACAUUGCCCAUAAAUGAAAUGAACAAAACCCAUCCCUUGAAAUUUCGAAAUAUUCAUUCGUAUAUUGACCCAUAAAACUGUGGUCGGUUUUUUAUACAACCGCGUGGGACUGAGGUUCCCUCCACAUUUUUCAUAUUCUGCUUCUAUCCAAGAUUCCUUCAUCCAGCAUACCAAACUGGUUCUACCGCCAAUGGUAAUAUGAAUAUUCAACAAGUACUUAGAUUAAAGUUGAAAGGUCUCUCCUAAAUAAUGUCAAUGGAAAACGCGGGAAAACCAGCUAUAAGAACGCCGGAAAUGGCUCAGCGAUUUGUAUGCCAUGUGCAUGGGAACAAGACCUUUCUAAAUAGAAUGAGCCUUCCAGUGAUGAAGUUUCUUUGCAGUCCCCAGCAUGCUAAGAAAAUAUAUCCCAGUGAAUGGCUCAAAAUUCGGUUUCAUUCAUAAAACGUGUCAAUAGUAAUUGUGACCUGGUAGAAAUUUUAUCUCUGACGUCACUUAGACACACCUACUCAUGGAAUCUAUCAAUGACUUCUAAGCCGAGGCGGGAAAUAGUACGUAGGGCAUAUCGAUUGUACUUACGAGUACAUGAAACUUGGGACAAGGGUGAAGAAGAGACAAAUAAAGACUUCAUUCACUCGUUGGGGAGUUUGCGCGACAGUGUGUACAAGAUUUAAUCGUACUGGCCUGCAAAAUCCCAAAUGGAGUGGAAACGUUCUCAGCAGUGUAAUGGAACAAUAUAAUACAAACGUAUUCUAAGUAACAACAAAAGACCCUGUGGUAUUCGAACUCGGGAUGUACGGAUCACAAGUCCGACACUUUAUCCACUCGGCUAUGGAGUAAGUUACAUUUUUAGUCCAUAAAAUCCUUUUAAUAAAACAAAAUGUCGUUUCGAUCACGGUCAGCCAUUUUGUGAUGAUGUGUUAAUCCACCUUAAUCAUUUCAAAGUAUUUGUUUACAUGUAAAGCGCUGAACAAAUGCUAAUGAUACAUAUACAUAAUAAUAUUUUCCUUAUGCGUGUGUAAAAGAUGAACUUAUUUUUAUUUAUUUAUUCAUUCGUUUUUAUUUUAUAUAUUUAUUUAUUAAUUUUUUGCAAUCAAAAAAUUAAGUUUUUGUAGACAUUAUCGAUUUAAGUUUAAGUCUAAUUAAAGUCAUUAAAUCUUAACAAUUUUUUACUUUGAAAGAACUUUGAUUUUUUUUAGCGAUUUAACGAUUAGCUUAGGUUUUUCUAUAAUAUACAUGUAUAUACAGAUUGCGUUGCUUCAGGUCUAAAAUAAAAUUAACUAUAUAUAACAAUCUUGACCUUUAAAAGCUAUCGUUGAACAAAUACGUCUUAGUACAAUAAGAUUGACUAAAUCCCGUCGUAAAUCUUACUUUCCGUUCUAGUGAUAAGAAGACUCAUUGUGAUUCCCUCUCGUUUACGUCAGAAUUUACUUUUUAAUGUUUACAUGUUGGAACGAAUCCAUUACCAUUUUAUUCUUUCUCGGUAUUUUGUAUAUUCACGUUUGAUACUUCCUAGUGCAUCGAAAAUGGGUUUUAUUCUCGUGUCAUGUUUUACCUGGCUGAAUGUUAAUUGGAUGGAUAUUAAAUUGUCAUCGAAAUUACAGCAUUCCAAUAAUAUUCAUGUAAAUUUCAGACCUAAAACUGUUUAUUUCUAUCAGAUUUUCUUUGUACACUUUGAUUAACUAUAUUUUUUAUUUCUGCGUUCUUCAUUAAAGGAUAAGACUGGUCUCAUUGUUUAAUUAAUCAUACAUGUGGGAAACAAGUGAUCAAUUAGUCUGAGCCAUCGUAUGCUGCGGAGAAUAUUUAGGAAGCCAUGACACCUGAGAUACUGGUGAGCUGAUAUCGAAAGAAAUGCAGCAGUCAUGAGUCAGAUGCUUUUCAAGGAAGGACCCACCCUUUGGUCCAACAAUGUAGUUUUAUUUUUUUUACUUGUUGUUUGUCCUUUAAACCCCUACUAUUAAGUUUGUGGUGUCUGUAUUUGCUAAAAAUUGCACAAUUGGGUUUACGUUAAAAAUAGUUUUCAUUUUCACUUCUGUAUAUCGUGAAUAAUAACUGGUUUAAUCAUAAAACAAAAAGAGGGGUAACUCUUAUAAAGAGAUAGUACUUGAUGUCAUUUGUAUUUUAUGUAAUUUGAGGAGUUAUUUAGAUAUUCAUAUUUGUUCAUAACUGCCUGAAAAGCAAGAACAGCGAAAAUGUUUACGUUUGCAGGAAAAACAUAAUUGUUUUGAGAUUGACUUUUAUUUUUUACUUCUUAAAUCAUAAUUACUAGUGUAUUUCUAACAUUGGCAUAACAUAUUAUACAUUGGUGUUAUUGAUUAAUCAGGUUAAGCAACACAUUUGUAACUUUAUUUCAUGUAAAAAGAUUUUCUUAAAUAGCCGAUGUGAAAAACUGACGCUAUGAAUUGACACAAGAUUCUUGUUUUGGUUUCUAAUAUCACGUGAAUUUUAUGAGAAUGAUAUGAAAAUCAUACGAUGAAAUCACGUGCAAUCCAAAGUAUGCUUUUCACAUGAUGUUCGCAACCAUGUGCCCGACUGCUGCUUGUAAUCGAAACCACCAACUUUUAUUUCUCAUUUUACUGUAUUCUGAACACUACAUUUAUUCAUUCUAAUUUGCAUUUACAUGUAUCUAUGUAGAAAAAGUUUAUGCUGAUUUCUUUAUAAUAUCAUACACAUUAAAUAAAUCAAACAGUAAAUGGAAAUGAAUGAUAAUACAUGUUUAUAAAAUGAAUUUUAUAAAUCUUAAUAUCGCAUUAGAAAAAAAGUCAAAAUUUCAAAUCAAGCUGA